Molecule: non-coding RNA, 3220 nt
Organism: Sturnus vulgaris (Common starling)
Lineage: Eukaryota; Metazoa; Chordata; Aves; Passeriformes; Sturnidae
Source: RefSeq, a predicted model, not a curated record
CAAAAGAGAAGACAAAAAUAAAUUCAUAUUUACACUGCUGGGUUUUAAAAGAAUGAAAUAAUAACUCACUAAGUUCUUAAUAUUGUUCUUGAAUAUACAGGGUAUUUGCCAAUGUCUAUAACUGUGUGUGGUUUAUUUCUAAUAUGAUGCAACCCGUAACCUGCAUUCUGCUUAAUAUUGCAGUGUGAGCUAUCUUUAUCCAUUAUUUAUUGUAUUCAGAUAUGAGGAGGAUCAGAAUAUUAGACAGAAGGAGCACAGUGGCUUUGAGGAUGAGUUGUAGAAAUGAGAUGAAACAGAGUAGUAAAACCAGCAGUGCAUAAGUGUCUGGAUUGAGAAUUGCUGAAGGGGAGAUCCAGGACUGGUUGGGAGUUGCCCUGGCAAUGUUGUUGCCCUGGCCUUGGAAAGGUGAAUGCAGGUCCCUGGGGCUUCUGGUGAGAGAUCCCCACUAAAGCCAGGGAGGCAUUAGUGCCAUUGUGCAAGGCCCUAAAGCACCUUAUCAGGAAUAAUGUGUAUGAUUCUCUGUCCAUUUUAUAGAAGUGACUUUAGAUUGGAACAGGUUCAGAGGACAGAUAAUGCGUCUGGGAGAAUAGGAAAGAGGAGAUGAUGUAUCGUGGCAAAACAAAAUGACAGAAGACCGAAGAACAGAUACAAAAGUUUAAGUAUAGUAUACUUCCUGAUUGAUAAAUACGUAUAAUUUCUGUUGACUUGAUGUAAUUUCUGUUCCUACAUGUAAUUUCUUAACAAUCAACAGUGACUGCACUGUCAUUUUUCAGGUGGUGAGGGACUUUAUGAGCAACAGGGAGGAAAUACAUGUUUUUUAAAGUAAAAGAUUAUGUUAGUUCAAGAAAAGUGUUUGGAAAUUAAUAACAGAUAUAUUUCAAGAGAAAUUUACAGAUUCCUAAUUCUGAGGACAGUUUGUAACAUGUAUCCAGCAGAAUUAAGUGAGGACAAAAUGAUUUUACUGCUUUAAAGCUGGAGCUCAAGACAAAAUGAUUCUAUACAGUGUUGCUUUUAACAUUAAAGGACAGGACUCAAUUCAGAAAAUCCCUUUAGUUUUUCUGUUCAUCUUUGUCUUUUAGAUAUCUUGCCGUCUGAAAAGUAAUAAUAAACCAAAUCACUGCUGUGGAAGGAAUUUAAAAUCCUUCCGUCUGAAGUUGUCUGAAAGUAAUAAUGAUUUGGAGGUCUUUUGAAGAAGAGUAGCUUCUAAACAAAUCUGUCAGAUACUGAUUUAAGUCUCUGUUUAGUCUACAGCAGUGAAAUUGCUUUGAAUAGAAAAUACAUGAUAAAAUAUGUGUAAUGGGUCUUGUCAAAAAGCUUUUUCAUUCUGUUUCACAUUUUCCAAUAGCAGACAAUCUCCACUGCAUUUAAUAAAAAGUAAUAAAAUUUCUGAAGCCAGAACUGAUUCGUGGUUGAUUUAAAAGAAAGUUUAUUACCUCUCUUUGCAGUAUACUGCUCAUUCUCUGCAUCUAGAAGUCAGUGGUUAAAUAAAGUCUCUCUGAGAGGAAUUUUCCAUUGUGAGUCAUAAGCAUUGGAUUGACAACCUUUAUAGACAUUUAAAUGCAGUCCUAUUAAACAAUACACUUCUAUAAACGCUGAAGGAUAAAUAUCUUUUGCUGGGUGUGGGGGCAUUAAGGUGCAGUACCUGAGAGAACGACUUGUGGAGAGUUUAUGUAGCUGUGAGAAAGCCAUAAGGCUGGGAUCUGCCUGGGUGGAACACCUGUAGUAUCCCAUCAGGAGGACAGGAUAUUUAAUGGUACAGAGCCCAUCAGCCAGCAGCAAUUACCUAAAUGGUGUUUGCCCACAGGAAUAAAGCAAUGGCCACAUAAAUAAAGAGUUGUUGGGUUUCUUUCAAUAUCACAUUAGAGCUGGAUAUUUCUCUCACAAACAUCACUUGAAACAAGAAUUUCAGUAAAAUGAAAAUAACUAUCGCAAUACUUUCUGGCCUGUAUUUUGAAUGUACAAAAUUUAGAAAAAAAAUGUCCUCUAAACUCAUUUUGUUUCAUCAGCUUUGUCUCCCAUAGCUAUCAGUUUGGCUUAAUUUUGAGUUUUCCCGUAAUAUAGACUCUGGAUACCCUGUAAGUGAAAAAUGUAAUUGUGUGGAAAAUUAUUAAAAAUUUCAAACACCACUGCUGUCACAAAAAAAGAUGAUGCAUAGGGGAAAUUACUGUUUCCCAUAUUGAAAAUAAUUAGCAAAUGUAAUGCCAGUCAACCCACUUGGGAUGCUGAGCAUACACAUGAAGGAGAAAACUAGAGAGAUCACAGGUAAUGAUGCACAGGAAGAAUGCUGAGAAGAGAAUAUGCAAAGAUGCUGGGCAGCUUUCUGGAGCAACAGAGAAGGCAUCACCAGCAGCAAGGAUGCAUCCUGUCCACUUGGGUAAAGGAAAGCUCUCAUGAGAGAAGAAACAUUUACUUUCAACAAUCUUGUAGAGCAUCAUUUGUAUUUGGCCUUUCCAAUGGAUUUUGUACUGGAACUUCUGCAGCAGCAAAGGCUGUAACUGAACUUCGAAUGUGGCUUUACUAUCUGGAUGAGAUUUAUAGCCCGGGGCCUUAGGACAGGCAGGAUUUCCAAGUUGCAUUUUAUUGGAAAGCUUGGGAUAGCGCUGCUUCUUCACAUGGGUUUUUGAAAUCACUGCUGGUCGUGCAAGAUAAGUUGAAUCCAAAUGUCCCACUCUCAAAGUCCUGAUGUAUUUGCGAGUUUUGUAAGCAGUUGAUUUAUAAAUGUAAAUCUCUUCCUAUGGUAAACAUUUGCAAUGAAUCAGAGAGAUCUACAGUGGGUGCAUCUUGAGUUCAAUAGAUGAGACUUCAAAGGCACUGCAAUCAUGACUGGUUCUCCGGUGUGUAGUCUUACCUGCAGUGAAGUAAAUAUUUUUACUAAAAAAAGGUAUGAGAAUAUUUCCAGACCCAAAACCAGCCAUAGCUCAGUAUGCAACUCUUUUGUAUGCUCUUUUCAGACACUUCUGACUUAAAAUUCUAAAUUGUUCUAUGAAAUCUCUUUUCAGUUUUCUAGCAAGAAGACUUAAGCCUCUCUCGAGUUUAAUUACAGACAGUGAAGGUACAGAGACUUGGUCAUCAGUAUGACGAUUUUUUAAAAUUUAUUAAAUGUAUUAAAUGAAGAAAUUUAAAAUUAUUCUGCUUCGUUUGUGCCAUAUUUUUACCAGGAUGUUAACAGAAUCUUUCUUGGUGGUUAAAUACUGAUGAAAAUAAAUCUGGAUGAAUCUUC